Molecule: ribosomal RNA, 490 nt
Filed under: uncultured bacterium
Lineage: Bacteria
Description: partial 16S ribosomal RNA
Rfam family: Bacterial small subunit ribosomal RNA
Source: RNAcentral
GAUGAACGCUAGCGAUAGGCUUAACACAUGCAAGUCGAGGGGCAGCAUGGUCUUAGCUUGCUAAGACUGAUGGCGACCGGCGCACGGGUGCGUAACGCGUAUGCAACUUGCCUCACAGAGGGGGAUAACCCGUCGAAAGACGGACUAAUACCGCGUACACUCCAUCUUGGGCAUCCAAGGUAGAGGAAAUGAAAUUCGCUGUGAGAUAGGCAUGCGUCCCAUUAGCUAGUUGGUGAGGUAACGGCUCACCAAGGCGACGAUGGGUAGGGGAACUGAGAGGCUGAACCCCCACACUGGUACUGAGACACGGACCAGACUACUACGGGAGGCAGCAGUGAGGAAUAUUGGUCAAUGGGCGAGAGCCUGAACCAGCCAAGUCGCGUGAAGGAUGACUGUCUUAUGGAUUGUAAACUUCUUUUAUACGGGAAUAACAAGAGUCACGUGUGACUCCCUGCAUGUACCGUAUGAAUAAGCAUCGGCUAACUCCGUG